UCUAGUGGCGCACGGGUGCGUAACGCGUGGGAAUCUGCCCUUGGGUUCGGAAUAACAUCUGGAAACGGAUGCUAAUACCGGAUGAUGACGUAAGUCCAAAGAUUUAUCGCCCAAGGAUGAGCCCGCGUAGGAUUAGCUAGUUGGUGAGGUAAAGGCUCACCAAGGCUACGAUCCUUAGCUGGUCUGAGAGGAUGAUCAGCCACACUGGGACUGAGACACGGCCCAGACUCCUACGGGAGGCAGCAGUAGGGAAUAUUGGACAAUGGGGGCAACCCUGAUCCAGCAAUGCCGCGUGAGUGAUGAAGGCCUUAGGGUUGUAAAGCUCUUUUACCCGAGAUGAUAAUGACAGUAUCGGGAGAAUAAGCUCCGGCUAACUCCGUGCCAGCAGCCGCGGUAAUACGGAGGGAGCUAGCGUUGUUCGGAAUUACUGGGCGUAAAGCGCACGUAGGCGGUUAUUUAAGUCAGAGGUGAAAGCCCGGGGCUCAACCCCGGAACUGCCUUUGAGACUGGAUAACUUGAAUCCAGGAGAGGUGAGUGGAAUUCCGAGUGUAGAGGUGAAAUUCGUAGAUAUUCGGAAGAACACCAGUGGCGAAGGCGGCUCACUGGACUGGUAUUGACGCUGAGGUGCGAAAGCGUGGGGAGCAAA
This 646-nucleotide ribosomal RNA is filed under the name uncultured Alphaproteobacteria bacterium. Its description in RNAcentral is "bacterial SSU rRNA". It matches the Rfam family "Bacterial small subunit ribosomal RNA", at positions 91 to 772 of the family's 1533-position model. The record is from RNAcentral. Lineage: Bacteria; Pseudomonadati; Pseudomonadota; Alphaproteobacteria.